AAACCGUGAUGAGGACAUUCUUAGAUAAGGUCUUUGAAACGUUCCAUACAUCGAGAGAAUGGUUCAUUGGUUCACUAGUGAAACUGGAGAAUGUUGUUCCUAAGUUU
Cephalotus follicularis is the source of this 107-nucleotide small nucleolar RNA. It matches the Rfam family "Plant small nucleolar RNA R71". Rfam says of the family: R71 is a member of the C/D box family of snoRNAs containing the C (UGAUGA) and D (CUGA) box motifs. Multiple nearly identical copies of this snoRNA have been identified in Arabidopsis, and it is thought to function as a 2'-O-ribose methylation guide for 18S ribosomal RNA. The record is from Rfam. Lineage: Eukaryota; Viridiplantae; Streptophyta; Magnoliopsida; Oxalidales; Cephalotaceae.